This is a long non-coding RNA of Mustela erminea (ermine), 95 nucleotides long. RefSeq lists it as uncharacterized. The record is from RefSeq and is a predicted model, not a curated record. Lineage: Eukaryota; Metazoa; Chordata; Mammalia; Carnivora; Mustelidae. The transcript has 3 exons.
AGGCUCUGUAGAUCUUUGAAAUUUUUUAUUUAAAGUCCAGCUAGUUCACAUACAGUGUAGAUUGGUUUUAGGCGUACAAUAUAGUGACUCAACAC